RNAcentral lists this ribosomal RNA (481 nucleotides) under uncultured bacterium. RNAcentral's name for it is "bacterial SSU rRNA". It matches the Rfam family "Bacterial small subunit ribosomal RNA", at positions 28 to 507 of the family's 1533-position model. The record is from RNAcentral.
GAUGAACGCUAGCGGAAGGCUUAAUACAUGCAAGUCGAGCGGUAGGUGGCUUCGGCCAUUGAGAGCGGCGCACGGGUGAGUAACGCGUACAUGACCUGCCUGUCAGAAGGGGAUAGCCCUGGGAAACUGGGAUUAAUACCCUAUGGUAUUGAUAUUAUGAAUGAUAUCAAUUAAAGUUGAGGCGCUGACAGAUGGAUGUGCGUCUGAUUAGCUAGUUGGUAGGGUAAAGGCCUACCAAGGCCACGAUCGGUAGCUGGUCUGAGAGGAUGAUCAGCCACACUGGGACUGAGACACGGCCCAGACUCCUACGGGAGGCAGCAGUGGGGAAUAUUGGACAAUGGGCGCAAGCCUGAUCCAGCAAUGCCGCGUGUGUGAAGAAGGCCUGCGGGUUGUAAAGGCACUUUCAGUGGGGAAGAACAGAUUCGGGUCAAUACCCGGAGCCCUGACGUUACCCACAGAAGUAGCACCGGCUAACUCCGUG